UUUGGGGUUUCUUGGCAAAGAUACUGGAGUGGUUUGCUAUUUCCUUCUCUAGCUUAUUUUACAGAUGAGGAAACUGAGGCAAAGAAGGUUAGGUGACUUGCCUAGGGUCAUACAGCUAGUAAGUAUCUGAGGCCAGAUUUGAACUCAGGAAGAGGAGUCUUCCUAACUCCAGGCCGAGUGCUUUAUCCACUGCGCCACCUCACUGCCCUGCCAGGGGAGCAUAUGCUUUUCCAUACAUUUCCACAAGGCUCUCCUUUGGAAAGGUAUGAGCCCAAAUCAGAAGAAUGCCACCCCUCAUAGGGGUGUGCAACCCCAGGAGUAGCUUGGCUGUGUGAGAAAGUUUCCCAGGGUAAAAUCAGUAGGUUACAGAUAACACCUCUUACCUCCCUCCCACCUUUCCAGUCUUCUUGUACCUCGCACCUCUACCAUCUACUAUGUGACUGAGUAACACUGGCUUUUUCAUGUUCCUCCUUCCAGAAACUCCAUCUCCUGACUCCAGGCAGUUUCACUGGCUCCCUCCCGUGCCUGGAAUUCUCUCCCUCCUCAUCUCCUUCUCUUGGCUUUCCUGUCUUCCUUUCAACUAAAAUCUUACCUUUUACAGGAAGCCUUUCCCAGGCCUCCUUAAUUCUUUUACCUUCCCUCUGUUGAUUAUUUCCAAUUUAUCCUGCAUCUAGCUUGUUUUACAUAGUACAUGUUGUCUCCCCCAUUAGACUUCAAGGUCCUUGAGAGCAGGGACUGUCUUUUUCCUUUCUUUGUAUCCCUUUUUUAUUAACUGACUGCCUGCAGGUUAGAUAUUAGGCAAAACUUCUUGGCAAACAAACAUGUGACAGACAGGGCGAUUAUGAUUACUUUAUUCACAUCUUUGUUUCUGAUAUUUUUUCCUUCUGGUCUGCUCUUCAGUCUAAAAUGGGGCUGAUCCAGUUCCCUCCUUUGUGAUUUUUGCUUCUGUUUCUUUCUUUGCAGAAGAGACUCCCUCUGACCCUGGGGCUGAACAGCCUGUAGACAAUGCAGUCAACCCAGAAGCCCCUGCAGAAACAUCCUCAGAGCAAGUGACAGCCCCUGUAGAAACAAGUUUGGACACUGCACAGACAACUUUAGCAGCUGAAGAGUCAGAAGAGAAUCAGAUAGCCACUCCUCAAAAAGUGGAACCCAGUAUCACCAGAUUACCAUCAAUUAAGUCUUUGCCAACCUACGUGAAGAGCAAAGUUGAGAAACUUGAAAAGAAAAUCAAGACUGAUGUGAACGCAUUUAAGGAACUUAAGAAGUAUCCUCGGAAAAUUGUGAAAAUAUAUUCGUCCUGACAACCUGAAGAAACUGGCUAGAAUUCAGCCUUCAAAGGAAUUACAACCAUUGUAUACAUGGUUCAGGGCUAUUAAAUUGAAGCAUCA
RNAcentral lists this long non-coding RNA (1388 nucleotides) under Phascolarctos cinereus (koala). RNAcentral describes it as "lncRNA (ENSPCIG00000008731.2)". The record is from RNAcentral. Lineage: Eukaryota; Metazoa; Chordata; Mammalia; Diprotodontia; Phascolarctidae.